UGUUUUGUAAUUGUUCUUGGU
Caenorhabditis elegans is the source of this 21-nucleotide non-coding RNA. Lineage: Eukaryota; Metazoa; Nematoda; Chromadorea; Rhabditida; Rhabditidae. The record is from Ensembl.